AGUGAACGCUGGCGGUAGGCCUGACACAUGCAAGUCGAACGGCAGCACAGUAAGAGCUUGCUCUUACGGGUGGCGAGUGGCGGACGGGUGAGGAAUACAUCGGAAUCUACUUUUUCGUGGGGGAUAACGUAGGGAAACUUACGCUAAUACCGCAUACGACCUACGGGUGAAAGCAGGGGAUCUUCGGACCUUGCGCGAUUGAAUGAGCCGAUGUCGGAUUAGCUAGUUGGCGGGGUAAAGGCCCACCAAGGCGACGAUCCGUAGCUGGUCUGAGAGGAUGAUCAGCCACACUGGAACUGAGACACGGUCCAGACUCCUACGGGAGGCAGCAGUGGGGAAUAUUGGACAAUGGGCGCAAGCCUGAUCCAGCUAUACCGCGUGGGUGAAGAAGGCCUUCGGGUUGUAAAGCCCUUUUGUUGGGAAAGAAAAGCAGCAGGUUAAUACCCCGCUGUUCUGACGGUACCCAAAGAAUAAGCACCGGCUAACUUCGUG
This 492-nucleotide ribosomal RNA is filed under the name uncultured bacterium. Its description in RNAcentral is "partial 16S ribosomal RNA". It matches the Rfam family "Bacterial small subunit ribosomal RNA", at positions 29 to 507 of the family's 1533-position model. The record is from RNAcentral.